Molecule: long non-coding RNA, 1025 nt
Organism: Cyprinus carpio (common carp)
Lineage: Eukaryota; Metazoa; Chordata; Actinopteri; Cypriniformes; Cyprinidae
Exons: 3
Source: RefSeq, a predicted model, not a curated record
AUAAUUUCACAAAUCAACAUAAUUUAAAAUAAAAUGUAGUAAAAUUAAAUCAUAAAAAUGAGAAAUACAUUAAAGUGUAGAUUUUUUUGAUAAAUAACUCAGUGGAAAUGUAAGUAGUGUCACAGCUGUGACAUGACUGUGUACACAUCCUCAACAGCAAGCAAAAACUUGAUCUUUUGCGUUUUUCUUUCAAGUGUCACAAUCCAUAGGACGAUUAACUGCAAAAAAGAAAGGAAACACAGUAUGACUGGAUAACUUUACAACAAAGUACACAAUGUGAGGGACUUGCACAGGACAUUGAGAGUGUAAUACAGCCCUGUUUACACACAAGUGAGAGCUUAGCACAAACAGCGGUAGGAUAGCACUCUGACCUAUUUGUCAUUAAACUGUGUUUUCUUAAAAGGUGAGCAUGUCUGGAAGCAUGCUGGAGACUGUCCUCAAACACUGGGAAUCCCGUGGGAGCUCAACUUCUCCAGGCCUGUGUACACAGUGCAAACAUGGGAGGCGGGCUUCUUUGGUCUGCUUAAUGCUGUCCCUGUGGAGGUCAGGAGGUUGAUUCUGGCCCAUAGCCAGCAAACCAACAGCCAUUUUGGGCCCCUAGAUAGAGGCUGAGGUAUUCAGUGUUGGUAUAUCUGAUACGAGGUCUGGAGGAGUCUUGAACCCAACAGCAUGUCUACAUCCGGGACACAUUCUUCUCUUUACAGUGACCCAACAGCACUAUCCUCAGUAUGAUGUAGACAGCUUGUACAACACUAAUGCUGCGUUCGACUGGGGGGCCCCUUCAGAUUAUUGACACAGGACCAAGAACUGGCACGAUCUGCCCACUCCCUUUUUUCCAUAAGUCUCCAUGAGCCUGGGGUGUACACCUUCAAACUCAGCAGCCACCAACAUAGGCACAUGGUAUUAUGAUCCAUUUUCAUUACUGCAGAUAACCUUUAUGAUCUAUUACGGCAGAUAAACAUUAUAAAUGUUAUUAAAAGUCUGUACUAUUUAGUCUAAAGAAAUUAAAAAUAAAAUACUAAAAA